AAACUUUCAACAACGGAUCUCUUGGUUCUGGCAUCGAUGAAGAACGCAGCAAAAUGCGAUAAGUAAUGUGAAUUGCAGAAUUCAGUGAAUCAUCGAAUCUUUGAACGCACAUUGCGCCCGCCAGUAUUCUGGCGGGCAUGCCUGUUCGAGCGUCAU
RNAcentral lists this ribosomal RNA (156 nucleotides) under Fusarium nygamai. RNAcentral describes it as "5.8S ribosomal RNA". It matches the Rfam family "5.8S ribosomal RNA". From Rfam's summary of the family: 5.8S ribosomal RNA (5.8S rRNA) is a component of the large subunit of the eukaryotic ribosome. It is transcribed by RNA polymerase I as part of the 45S precursor that also contains 18S and 28S rRNA. Lineage: Eukaryota; Fungi; Ascomycota; Sordariomycetes; Hypocreales; Nectriaceae. The record is from RNAcentral. RNAcentral also lists the same sequence under 5 other names.